Molecule: long non-coding RNA, 1493 nt
Organism: Onychomys torridus (southern grasshopper mouse)
Lineage: Eukaryota; Metazoa; Chordata; Mammalia; Rodentia; Cricetidae
Exons: 3
Source: RefSeq, a predicted model, not a curated record
UACAAUAUCCAAACAUUCAAUCCAAUGUAAAGUAUUUAAAAUUAGUAGUUGUCUUUUCAGAGUAGAUCCAAAUAGUCUACCUUUUUAUCUUAUCAGAAGGCAGUGUGGAGAAAGGUGGAUUUCAGUACAGAAGGCAGUGAGUGUGGAGAAAGGUGGAUUUCAGUACAGAAGGCAGUGAGUGUGGAGAAAGGUGGAUUUCAGUACAGAAGGCAGUGAGUGUGGAGAAAGGUGGAUUUCAGUACAGAAGGCAGAGUGGAGAAAGGUGGAUUUCAGUACAGAAGGCAGUGAGUGUGGAGAAAGGUGGAUUUCAGUAAAGAAGGCAGUGAGUGUGGAGAAAGGUGGAUUUCAGUACAGAAGGCAGUGAGUGUGGAGAAAGGUGGAUUUCAGUACAGAAGGCAGUGAGUGUGGAGAAAGGUGGAUUUCAGUACAGAAGGCAGUGAGUGUGGAGAAAGGUGGAUUUCAGUACAGAAGGCAGUGAGUGUGGAGAAAGGUGGAUUUCAGUACAGAAGGCAGUGAGUGUGGAGAAAGGUGGAUUUCAGCACAGAAGGCAGUGUGGAGAAAGGUGGAUUUCAGUACAGAAGGCAGUGAGUGUGGAGAAAGGUGGAUUUCAGUACAGAAGGCAGUGAGUGUGGAGAAAGGUGGAUUUCAGUACAGAAGGCAGUGUGGAGAAAGGUGGAUUUCAGUACAGAAGGCAGUGUGGAGAAAGGUGGAUUUCAGUACAGAAGGCAGUGUGGAGAAAGGUGGAUUGAUGACUUGGUUGUGAAGUAUAGCAUAUUGGCCAGAAGGUGUAAGCUGGGGCAACUCUUCUUCAUCACAGAACUGAAGCGGAGGAACAUUGCGGAAAAGGCAUUCUAAGGAGUAACAUGUUUAACUGAAAAGAAAACAGGAGAGAAUUUAAAACACUGCUUUGGAAAGCAUACAGCUAGGCUGCCAUGGAGUAGCAUAGCAGUAACAGUGGUCAUCUAGUUUGAUUAUUGGUUUGUUUCUAGUCUGUGUGAUGAUUAUAGUCUAGAUGGAAUGUUCUCCCAAAGGCUCUUGUGUUAAAGGCUUGGUGACCAGUGGAUGGGCUUGUCAGAAGGAGGAGUUUGGCCUCAUAGGACAUUGCUGGAGAUGGUGGAAAGCAGGAGAUGGACUAAACUGGAGGAAGCAGGUUACUGGGACCAUGGCCUGGAAAGAUGUUUCUUGCUCCUUGCUGCUUCCAACUGCAGUGAAGAGAGCCAUCCUGUCCCACUGCCCCCUCCCUAUGAUGUUCUGCCUCACACAGGCCCACAAUGGCGGAACCAAAGAACAAACUGAGAGCUCAGCCAGACCACUCAGCCUCUGAGAACCUCAGGAUUAUCUCCCAUCAAAGGAGAUAGAAAGAUCUUACGUAUAUAGACUUUUUUUAAAUAAGAUGAAGAUGAAACAGUGAUGCUGCAAAAAUAGUUCAUUAUCACUUUCUAUAAUUGUUUAUUUUCUUUUGUUUUCAAAACAAGGUCUCACUAUUAUAACCC